This 470-nucleotide long non-coding RNA is filed under the name Homo sapiens (human). RNAcentral describes it as "HSALNT0346919". Lineage: Eukaryota; Metazoa; Chordata; Mammalia; Primates; Hominidae. The record is from RNAcentral.
AUUCCUGCCCUUGGCAGUGUGAGAUGGAAGAUGAUGUCGCAAGGGUGGCCGAGAAGCAGCUGGGCUGAGCUGCUAAAAGCACAGAGACCGGGGCCAGACUCCUCAGCCUGAAAUCCUGCUUCCACUAAGUACCAGCUGGGUAACUUCAGGUCUUCUGUGCUCAGUUUCAGGCCCUGGAGGUCCAUGCUUCUGCCCAAGCUGUGUCUCAUCUCUGCAGGUGGAGCCCAGUUGACAGGAAAUGUUUCUCCAGAAGCUGAAAAGCUGCCUGGUAAAGGCCUUUCAUAAAAUGGUCUGCGUUUGGGACCAGGAAGACAGAAGACUCCUCAAGAAGAGAACUGGAACCUUAACCCACUUCAGACUUCUUCAUGUCUGAAGCUUAUUUCCACCAUCCCAUUGAGAACCAAAGAAGCGAGCUCCUUGGAGAAUCGGCUCCCACCUGGACCUUCUGUUUAUCCUUCCAAUAGCUGCUG